This is a long non-coding RNA of Erigeron canadensis, 1165 nucleotides long. RefSeq lists it as uncharacterized. The transcript is spliced from 7 exons. NCBI's taxonomy places the organism in Eukaryota, Viridiplantae, Streptophyta, Magnoliopsida, Asterales, Asteraceae. The record is from RefSeq and is a predicted model, not a curated record.
AAUUAUAUAUGUUGGAAUUUUUGGUCCUUCAACUUUAUCGUGUGAUCGUUCUGGUUUCAGGGAGAAGAGCAGAGAAAUUGGAUGUUCUGUCAAAUGAAGUCUUUGUGAAGGCUUUGGUCGGCAGUUACAGAACGGAAACGAUAGGUCCGAGUCACGCUAUGGGGUGAUUUGGUAGAGUCACUGAUUAAGAAGAAGAUCGCAAAUCCUGGCAUCUAUCCUCUGAUCUGGACUUUCAUGAAUAACCUUGGAAUUUCAAGUUCAUCCUCCACCCUAAUACUUGAUGGUGAUGAUAUCCCUGCUCUGAAGCAAUUCAAUCUUUGGUUAGCGGAGUCCAAGUGGACGAGUAUAGUGAACCCAUUACUAAAGAGAUACCUAUGGUUUCUAUUCUUAGUGAACUGUUGGAUCUUUCUCGAGAUGGCAUGGGUAAAAAGAAGGCUGUUUUCUUGCAGAAUUUAGCCCUGUUGAUGUUGUUUUUUUGAUGCAGCGAAUCGAGGAGUCUGAAUCCGAUGGUGAUGUUAGUGAGGGUGGGGUGAAAAAAAUUAGAUGUGUUGCAUGAGGGAUAGAAGCUUUUAACAAGAAGUUAGUAACACCAAAGUCCACGGCUAAGAGUUUAUAUGCACUUUUUCUUUUUCGUGUUGAUGAAAGAAAGCUAAAGACGACACCAACUUCAGUAGUUUUGAGAAGUAAUGAAAGAGCGUAAAGGCGAAAAGAGGUCAAACAACUCGACAUUUGCUGAAAAUGGCCUAGGCUCGGAUUGGAAGUGAAUCAGCAUCUGCAAGGAUUUGGGUCAGUUCGGUAAUUCCAUAGCUUAAGCACUUCGGUAAUUCCACGUCACAAAGAUAUGAUAUAAGAGAGAAAGCCUGAAUUGCAACAGCCUUGUUGUAGAAGUACCAUUGAGAGGACUGCGAUCGCCCUAUCACUCUUGGAUACUAAAGUUUUCUUGAUUUAAUCUUGGCCGCCGAAUGUAAUUCAAUUUUGGUGCCAUCAUUCAACUUGUGUUUUGUGACUUUAAUUUGUUUAAUUUAAGAGAUCAACUGUAUGUUAGAAAAUAGGAAAAACUUUAGCAAAUAGCACGAUAACCAUUUACAAAACACCAAUGUUGGAUGAUCUGUACUGUUAUGUUUUAAGUUUCUUUUGAACAAUAUCUGUCUGUUUGAUGUCUAAA